UGUAAUGCAUUGAUCUUCUUCUUUUGUAAUACAUCCUUAGCUUAUUCCUUCUUUGAUUUGUAGUAGUUAUACUUUCUAGGACAGGAUAAGUGGUUAGUACUGUUGGAGUGUUUCAUGUGCUAAUUUGAACUACUGUUGGGUUUGUUAUCAUCAGCUCUAGUUGCAAUUUUGAUUCGUAGGUCUUGCAUUUGGUAUAUUGUAGUUACAAUUUCUUUAGACCUUACACAUGUGAAAGUUCAAUUGAUUUUGCAUUUGUUCAGGGCAUCUUUGUCUCAUGAUAUUAGCUUUUCCUUGUUUAUUUGGCCCAGGAAUCCAUAGUUUAUACAAAUUAUAUAUUUGCAGGUUCUCACAAUUUCAUGAUUAAAGAUUUCAGCUUUAGACUUGUAAAUGCAUCUUUUAACUACUUUUCCUUUUGUUCUCCACGCAUUGUCGUUUUAGGGGAACUUCUAUCUUUUACGAUUUAAGGGAGGUACUAUAGUCUAUUGUCAUAUGCGAUGAGAUUAAACAGAUUGUGGCCUUGUUUUUUGAAAAAAAAUAGCUGCAAUGGUUCACUUUUUCACGAUCACCUAUUGGUCAUAUAGGUGAUCAUGAAGGCAUGAAGUAUUCUGAAAAAGCUGACAUUGAUUAGGGAAUAGUCAAGUCAUUCUCAAAUCCCUGAUGCGCUUCUUUCUGGUAUGAAUUAUUUAGAUUUUGAUUGGUGAUGUAUUAAGCAACGGUGCAGCGACACAUGCAGAAAUUUAUAGAGCAAUGUUGCACCUCAUUUUUCAUGUAAAAAACAAAACUAACAAUAUGAUGAAGGGGGAUCAUGGGAACAGAGUUGGUGAACAACAAUAUAGUUUAUCAACAAGGGAUCACGUAUCCUUUAGCUUGCCAUAGCAUUUUCACUAAUUUCCUUUGCUUUAGUGAAUCAUUGUAAUUGAUUGUAGGCUAUUUAGUCAACUUUGAUUGAAUGAAAAAGGCGAGCAAGAAUUAAGUCACAUUUUCCCUCUGUCAAAUUCUCCUUCUUUCUUGAGUUCUGCUAUACUCUAAAUAGCAACUUUCUGAGUCUUGUCACCUUCCCAUUGUUUGAUGAGUUUAUUGCAUUUUAUAGACUACAGCUUUACAUGUUUGAUCAAACUAUCUAAGGCAUAAAAAAACAAUAAUUUAGGAAGAAUCCUUGAUUCAUACAUUGUGUCACAUAUAUACCAAGCAAAGAGCAAAAAAAUUCCAGGUUCCUUCUCUUUUGAAAUCACAAACAGGUAUUAUGAAGUAAUGACAAUUCAUUGUAAUAUAAUAGACAGUGUCCAAACAGUGCGUACAAAACAAUGCAUACAAAACAUUAAGAAAGAAUGAAUGAUAAGAACACAAACUCUCAAGGAUCAACCAAUCCCCUUUGUCUAUUUCACAAAAACAACAUAAGUCAAGGCCAUUAAAAAAAAGAGCUUAUGUAACAUUGCAAGGGGUUCUAUAUCAUCCUUAAAAAAAACUCUAAAUUUUCUAAAAUCAAAUCCUAAUGAAUUGAAGAUAGUUCAAAAAGGUUUGUUAUGAUUUGUUCACUAUUUUCAUUGAAAUUUUGAUUUUUAAUUUUUUAUUAUGAUUUGUUCUCUUUCCUAUAAGCAUUUCAAUCAUUCCAACAAAAAAAAAAGAUAAAGUAAAACAAAAACCUUAUGAUGACACGUUCAUGGCAGGUUGACAACGGCGACGACCAGUGGUGAAUGGAAAGCUUAUGAUGAUGGUGGUGGGUUUUGUUUUGUUUUAAAGUGGAAGGAAGAAGAAGGGCAUGUGAUUUUGUUUUCUCCUCUCACAAUUUUUAUUUAUUUUUUGUUAUUUUAUUUUAGUUUUUUUUUUCUUUUCAAAAAGGUAUCACUUGACACACUUUGAUUGGCUAAUGGUACACGACACUGGUGCCUUAAUGGUACGCAAACAAGUGAAGUCUGGUCGAAUCACUCCUUCAAAAGGAGCCAAAUGCACAUGUCAUUGACCAAUCAGGUGGUGCCACAUGACACACCUAUUUUUUAUAAUAAAAAACAGUAAAUGGUCACUUUGGUCCACGACCCUGUACCUCGUUGUCACAAUGGUCAUGACUCAGGAUUUAAUGCAACACAACAUCUGUUUGUCAAAGCGGCAAAACAAGCUCAAUCACACGUUUGAGUUGAUGUUGCUAAUUGUAGCUUCCUAAAAAUCAAGUUGGUUUUGCAUUGGGACGCGAUAAAGAGACAAAAAACGCUGAUCUACUCACAGCAAUAGUCGAUUUAAUGUAAAAUAGUCCCUACAUAUGUAUAUAUGUUAUUGGUUUAAUCCAUGACGUUGAAAAUUUCUUGGCUUAAUAGCAGUUUUAGCCCCCUAACUUUUCGAAAGUUGUGAUUUUGGCAUCCGAAGAAAAAAAACUACAAAACCGCCCCUAAAUUUUGCAUUUGUGGCAGUUUUGGCCCCCCAAGGCCAAAUUUGACUCAGUCUACGCUGACAUGGCACCCUAAUUGAGGUGCCACGUGUUUUUUUUUUUUACCAAAAAUUGGUCUUGGGGGGCCAAAAUUGCUACAGUUACAAAACUUAGGGGACGGUUUUGUAGUUUUUUUCUUAGGGGGUCAAAAUCACAACUUCUUGAAAGUUAGGGGGCCAAAACUGCUAUUAAGCCAAAUUUCUUUUUAACAACCCAAAACAUUUAUCACCUCAUCAAUUAAUUUUUUUUUUAGGCUUAAUUGCACUUUUGGCCCUCUAUCUUUUUAAAAGUUGCGAUUUUAGCUCCCUAACUAAUUAAAAUACAAAACAACCCUCUAUGUAUUGGAUAGGGGCCAAAAGUAGCCUUGUGGACCAAAACUGCCAAAGAUCCAAUACAUAGGGGGCUGUUUUGUAUUCAAAUUACUCACAAACACUCAGAUUCCUUACCACUACCACCACCACUUCAAACCCAUUCAUCGUAUCCUACCUCAUUGACAAAUUCGGUUUCUCACAUGGAUUUGCACUCAAAGCUUCCAAAGAGCUUUAUUUCAAAACCUCACAAAAACCUGAUUCAGUUCUCUACUUCUUCAAAAAUCACAGUUUCACCGACUCAGACUUACGCAGUAUCAUCAAAAGGGUACCAUGGAUUCUUUCCUGCAAUACCCACAAAACGAUUCUCCCAAAGUUUCAAUUUUUACUCUCCAAAGGCGCUUCUACUUCUGACAUUGUCCACAUGGUUAGAGGUAACCCUAGGUUCUUGGAAUUAAGCUUGAAGAAUCAUCAAAUUAAGUUUGAAUUUUUUCUAUCCAAAGGUGCUUCUUCAUCUCAUAUUGUUUCAUUGUUAACUACAUACCCUCAAAUUUUACAAACUAGCUUUGAGAAUCGAAUAAUCCCUCUUUUUAAAUUGCUAACAAGGUUCUUUAAAACUAACAAGGAUACUAUUGUUUGCUUAAUUCAACAUUCGAAAUGGGUUACUAGUCAUCCCCAUCACCUUAUUGUGGCUAGUAUCAAUCUGAUUUCUGAUUUUGGAGUUUCUGAUUCUGUCAUUGCUAGAUUGCUUCAAAAUAAGCCAUCUAUAUUUGGUUCAAAGGAUUUGAUUAAGUCAUUGGAGGAAGUUAAGAGUUUAGGGUUUGAUCCUUCAACAGCUUCUUUUGGGGUUGCUUUGGUAGCCAAGAAAGGUAUGAGUAAAAAACUUUGGGAUGAGAAAGUUGACACCUUUAAGAAAUGGGGUUGGUCUGAUGAAAAUAUUGUUGAAGCAUUUAGGAGUCAACCUAAUUUAAUGUUGGUUUCAAUUGAUAAGAUUAAUUUGGUGAUGAGUUUUUGGGUCAAUCAAUUGGAUUGGAAUUCAUUGGAACUUGCUAAAUUUCCAAAUAUGUUUUGUUAUAGUUUACAUAAAAGGAUCAUUCCAAGAGCCUCAGUUUGGCAAUUUCUUUUGAUAAAAGGUUUGCGACAAAAGAAUGCAAGCUUAGUUACACCAUUUACAUGUUCUGAGAAUUCGUUCUUGAACAAGUUUGUUUUCAGCUUUAAGGAGGAGUCUGAUUAUCUCUUAAAGCUGCAUGAGGAAAAAAUGAAAUUUGCAAAUACAAAGAACAUUGGCAUGCCAUCCACCAAAUGUGUAAGAUUUUCAUUUUCUUUUGUAAUAUAACCUUAUCUUGUUCCUUCUUUGAUUUGAAGUACUAUUCUUUCUAGGCCAGGAUAAGGGGUUGGUAUUGUUGGCUUGUUUCAUUUACUAAUUUGAAAUACUGUUAUUUUUUCGUUAUAAUCAAUUUUAGUUACAAUUUCGAUGCAUAGGUCUUCAUUUUGUAUAUUGUAGUUACAAUUUCUUUAGACCUUGUACUGUUGUACAUGUGAAAGUUCAAAUGGUCUUGCAUUUGGUCUGAGAUUGCUUGACUCAUGGUGUUAGUUCUUGUUUAUUUGGCCCAAGAAUCCAUAGUGUAUACAAAUUACAUAUGCAGAUUCUCCAAUCUCAAUUUCAUGAUUAUAGCUUUCAUCUUUAGACUUGUAAAUGCAUCCUUUAACUACUUUUGCUUUUGUUCUGUACACAUUGUCAUUUUAAGGGAACUUCUAUCGUUUAAGAUUUAUGGGAGUUACUAUUGUAUAUUGCUCAUAUAGUCAUAUGCAAUGAGAUUAAACAGAUUUGUGGUCUUUUUUAAACCAAUCACAGGUUAACUCUCAUCCGAUCUGCUUGUUGGGUCGCUCAGAGAGGAAGGAAGCAAUCUGUUUAGAAAGUGGAGGCCACUAACUCACUAAGAGCCUAGUUUAUGAUUUACUUAAAGCAUGAUUUGUAAAGAGGUUAAUGGAAAAUGUGUAAACAGUCACAGGUCAGAGUCCUAGGUGAAGAUGUUCUGCUGGUUGCCAUCGAACCAGUGCUUGCCCAUGGUAUGAAAAACUGAUGGAAAUUGUCAUUGAUUGGGGAUUUCAUAUAUCAAUUGGAUCUAAAUAUAGACGGCAAUAGUCAAAUCCUUCUCUAAUCCCUGAUGUUGUUCUUCCUGGUACUCCAUACUUCAAUUCAUUGACUGUAGUCAUCGAAGAGGAAGAGGAUAUGGACUCCGGCGGCAAGGGGAAAAAUUUCUUGGGCAAAACAAGAUAAGUUAUAUAAUGAAAAUACGACUAAUUUAUGUUAUCACUGGUAUUUUUUUUCAAUGUUGUUAUCAGCCCAUCACCAAUUUUUUAUUAAAAUUUCGAGAAAUUUUAGUGUAUAAAAUAUUUAGAUUUUUAUUAGGUAAUGUAUGAAAGACAUAGUUUUUGAUAGAACACUAUGGCAUCGUUUGAUUCAUGUAGCCGAUGCAACUUAGUGGGAUAAGGCUUGGUUGUUGUUGUUGUUGUUGUGUUGAUGUUUGAAACAAGGGUGCAGCAUUACAUGCAGAAACGUAAAGACCAAUGUUGCGCCUCAUUUGACAUGUAAAAAACAAAACCAACAAAAUGAUGAAGGGGGAUCAUGGGAACAGGGUUGAUGAACAACAAUAUAUUUAUCAACAACGGAUCACGUUUCCUCUAGCUUGCCAUAUCAUUUUCACUAAUUUCCUUCGCUUUACAUUCUGUUAGAACGGAUUUGUCAUUUUCCCUUGCUGCAAUUUGAUUCCAUUUUUGUGUUAUUCAUAUCAUGCGGAUCAGUUGACAUCUGGCUGUGAUCAUUGUAAUUGAUUGAAGACUAUUUAAUUUAGCCAACUUUGAUUGAACGAAAAAGGCAAGCAAGAAUUAAGUCACAUUUUCCCUCUGUCAAAUUCUCUUUCUGUCUGGAGUUCUGUGUCUUAUCACCUUCCCGUUGUAUGAUGGGUUUUGGUUGAUUGCAUUUUAAAGAGUACAGCUUUACAUGUUACAUGUUAAAGUGAAAACACGAUAUUAUGUGCAUACCAUGUAGUUGAUUGUGCAGUUUGUAUAUUUCUGAUAUAUUAUACGAUUAGAUUUUUCACAGGUUAUAUGUUUGCUUUUGACUUGUUGAAUGCAUCUUUACCAAAUUUCAGUUUGUAAAUCUCUAAAAACUUAAAAGAGUUGUUUCUGUUAUACAUUUUGGAGGGACUGUGCAUGUAAUAAGACAAGUAUAUUAGCAUUAUAGUUGAUUGAAAGUUUGUAUGGUUAUUUGUUCAAAUUUCACUUUAUAUGAAAACCUUAGCUUGGGAGUUCAAUUGAGAACUCAAAUUGAAUCCUAUUGUAAAAGAUGCAGAAAUUGUUAUAAUGAGGUCUAUAAUCAAGUUGAAUCAAGUGAACAUUCACAAAUUGAAGUUGAAACCUUUAAAACCAAAAAAGGCUAAGUGACAAUUGAUACUUGUUUGAUAGUGCAUGAUCAUGCUUUUAGAUUAGUUAUUAAUUCUCAUAAUUCUCUCUCUUUGACGCUGGGAGGGUGUUUGUUCGUUUUCUUUGUUACAUAAAAGUUAAUGGGUUUAUAAAACUAAGCAAACCUUCUGAUUUAUUUAACUUAUGAGAAACCUAUGAGUCUGAGUUCAAAUUUCACUGUCAAUGUGAGAGUAUGAUAAGUCAAUAAUUAGUUGGUUUUAAGUGUUUAUUUUAUUAAGAUUUUAUGUGUUUUUAAUUACUUUAUAGAACUUUACUACUUCAAUUUGGUUGUUAUUUAAUUUCAGGAACAAAUAUGGUGAAAGAUUGAGUCUUGGAGCAAAAGAAAGGUUUUUGGAGCAUGGUUAAGGAAUGGAAGGAUCUGGAGCAUGAUUUGGGUCGAUUGAGACCAAAAAUAUGAAGAUCCUAUGCAAAAAUAUCAGGCACAGUCGUGUCUGACAAAGACCAGACCGUGCUCCCAAUGGCUGUUCAAACGUGCAUAUUCCAGGGAGGUUGGCACGGUCCGUGCCUGCACAAGCACGGUCGUGCGCGACCUCCAGCUCCCGUUUGCUGCUUUUGCCUUGAAGACAGGCAUGGUCCGCUGCUAUUUUGUUAUAUUUUUAGACCUAAAAGCCCAUGGGUUGCUUGCUAUGUAAUUUUUAUGCCUUUUUUUAGGGCUUAAGUUAGCUUUUAGGCUAUAAAUAGAGCAGCCACCAUACCUUAUGAUUCAUCUUUUGUUCUUGGGAAUUUUAUGUGACAACUAUUUCAUUAAUAAAAGUUCUUACUUUUCUUAUUUUUUUA
This 6990-nucleotide long non-coding RNA is filed under the name Medicago truncatula (barrel medic). Its description in RNAcentral is "long non-coding RNA (MTRU_LNC008266)". The record is from RNAcentral. Lineage: Eukaryota; Viridiplantae; Streptophyta; Magnoliopsida; Fabales; Fabaceae.